AGAGUUUGAUCCUGGCUCAGGAUGAACGCUAGCGGCAGGCUUAACACAUGCAAGUCGAGGGGUAUGCCGAUUUAUCGGCAGAGACCGGCGCACGGGUGCGUAACGCGUAUGCAAUCUGCCUUUCACAGAGGGAUAGCCCAGAGAAAUUUGGAUUAAUACCUCAUAGCAUAAUCAAACCGCAUGGUUCGAUUAUUAAAGUCACAACGGUGAAAGAUGAGCAUGCGUCCCAUUAGCUAGUUGGUAAGGUAACGGCUUACCAAGGCAACGAUGGGUAGGGGUCCUGAGAGGGAGAUCCCCCACACUGGUACUGAGACACGGACCAGACUCCUACGGGAGGCAGCAGUGAGGAAUAUUGGUCAAUGGGCGCAAGCCUGAACCAGCCAUGCCGCGUGCAGGAUGACGGUCCUAUGGAUUGUAAACUGCUUUUGUACGGGAAGAAACACUCCGACGUGUCGGAGCUUGACGGUACCGUAAGAAUAAGGAUCGGCUAACUCCGUGCCAGCCGCCGCGGUAAUAC
Molecule: ribosomal RNA, 517 nt
Filed under: uncultured bacterium
Lineage: Bacteria
Description: bacterial SSU rRNA
Rfam family: Bacterial small subunit ribosomal RNA
Source: RNAcentral